CUGAGCCCCACGUUAGCGUUUGCGAUUCAGGAGUCCUUUCUCCCAGCCCUGGAGGCGGCGACGCGGAGCGGCCCCGGGGCGGAGAGCUGGUGCGCAGGCGCCCGGGCUCGGCCCCCUGCCCGGCGCUGUCCGAGGUGCUGGACGCCGGCGGCGCGCGCUCCAAGGCCGCCGCUGUUCCUGGGCAUCUUCCAGAAGGCCGAGCUUGGCGUCAGGUGCAAACCGCGCGCAGAAGUAAUUCGCGGUUGUUGUACGCGGCGCAAAGCACAAGGCAUUGUAUUUACAAAGUGCAGCCCCCGCCCCAGGCUCCGGAGACCUCCAGCCCCUCCCUCGGAGGUAGCCCUGCAUUUGCAAACCAGCCCUGCUGGUACAGACUGUCCAGACGGUCGCUACAUUUAUGGUGAGCAUCGUGUAACUACAAGCUUGUUGAAUCGCUGUGCUGUACCCUGACAAUAAGGGAACAUGGCGUGUCACUACGGUCUAUGUCAUGGGGCCGGAGAGGAGGGGCGCCUGAAUUAACCGUGUACAAUGCUGGGUGCGCUGCCUGGGUGCUCGGCUCCAUUUAUUCAAGAAAAGUGUACUGAGUUUGGGCUGUGUGACCAGAUCUGCGUUUUCUUGGUAUGCCCUAGAGUCAGCUGUGAACAAGAAAGACAAGUUCUCUGCUUUCGUGGAGGGACCUUCUAACAAUCCAGAUUUGUCCACAUCUCUUGGGCAUUUUUCUACAGAUUUCAAAUGUAUCCUUCAUGAAGAUUGCGUCAGUUUGCAUUACCCCUUGCUCAUAGUGAAGUGGGUCUUCAACCACAGGAGAUCUCAUCGUUAAAGAAAUUGGCCAGAGUGAUAAUUACAAAGCAGGACGCAGCAAGAAGAUGAGGGGUCCUCUCCAGGAACUGAAUCAUCCAGCACCUUGGUCUUUGGCUUCCCAGACUCCAGAACUGUGAGAAAUAAAUGUUUGUUGUACUUGUUAUGGCAGCCCAAGAACAAGACAGUCCACACAAACUUGGCCAUAAGCUUUCUGAGUUCAGUCAUCUGAGUCUGUUCAUUGAUGAUUCUCUCCCCACAGUGCUCAUCAUUAUUUUUUUGGGUGAGAUUCCUAGGAGAACAAGAGCUACUUUCUGACUGUAAGUCCUAGAGGCUUUUUGUUUCUUCAGGUGUGUGCUAUAAGCACGGGAACACUUAGCAGGUUGGCUGGAUUACCCACUCUGGUGAUGGCAAUAAGCCUCCUAAGGGACACCAUCCUUCAAAGCAACCGUCGUGGGUACCAUCAUGGCACAAGGCUGCCUAGGCGGUGAGACCCUCCUGAAACCCCUUAAAACUUCGGGCACCAGCCUAUGUAAAGCAGUAAUAUUGAAUCAAGUUGGAACCCAGUGAGGACUCACAGUGUAUGUCAUCACAAAGGCUCUGGCGUCAACCCCAAACACCUCAGUGGAAAUUUGGGACCAGACUCUGAGUCACUUCUGCCUCUCAAGACUUCUCUCUAAUUGUGAGCUCAAAGGUACUGUCACCUGGGAAGCAACUUGGGAAAAUACCUUGGAAAACUGGCAUUUGCACAUCUCGUGGCGUCCUGGUAACGGCAACUGGUUUCCUGCUGGGAAAAUGGAUGUGUAUAUUUACACAUAUAAACGUGUCUAGACAUAUGUGCAUGAUGUAUGUGCAUCUAUACAGACACACACAUAGAAGUUUAUCUAAACCUGAUUAAUAUAAACGGCAUGGAGUACGCUAUUUACAAAUCAUAA
Ailuropoda melanoleuca (giant panda) is the source of this 1730-nucleotide long non-coding RNA. RefSeq lists it as uncharacterized. The transcript is spliced from 7 exons. The record is from RefSeq and is a predicted model, not a curated record. NCBI's taxonomy places the organism in Eukaryota, Metazoa, Chordata, Mammalia, Carnivora, Ursidae.